This 254-nucleotide ribosomal RNA is filed under the name uncultured bacterium. RNAcentral describes it as "partial 16S ribosomal RNA". It matches the Rfam family "Bacterial small subunit ribosomal RNA", at positions 524 to 776 of the family's 1533-position model. The record is from RNAcentral.
UACGGGGGGAGCAAGCGUUGUUCGGAUUUACUGGGCGUAAAGGGCGCGUAGGCGGCCACCGCAAGUCGACUGUGAAAUCUCCGGGCUUAACCCGGAAAGGUCAGCCGAUACUGCGGGGCUAGAGUGCAGAAGGGGCAACUGGAAUUCUCGGUGUAGCGGUGAAAUGCGUAGAUAUCGAGAGGAACACCUGCGGCGAAGGCGGCCUGCUGGGCAGUAGCUGACGCUGAGGCGCGACAGCGUGGGGAGCAAACAGG